This 414-nucleotide ribosomal RNA is filed under the name uncultured bacterium. Its description in RNAcentral is "bacterial SSU rRNA". It matches the Rfam family "Bacterial small subunit ribosomal RNA", at positions 8 to 429 of the family's 1533-position model. The record is from RNAcentral.
AGAGUUUGAUCCUGGCUCAGGACGAACGCUGGCGGCGUGCUUAACACAUGCAAGUGGAGCGACGAACCAGGGCUUGCCCUGGGGCAAAGCCGCGAACGGGUGAGUAACACGUGGGUUACCUGCCCCGAUGACCGGGACAACCCGAGGAAACUCGGGCUAAUACCGGAUGUGACCGUAAGGUGAAAGGAAGCUUCGGCCUCCGCAUCGGGAUGGGCCCGCGGCCCAUUAGCUUGUUGGUGGGGUAAUGGCCUACCAAGGCGACGAUGGGUAGCUGGUCUGAGAGGAUGAUCAGCCACACUGGGACUGAGACACGGCCCAGACUCCUACGGGAGGCAGCAGUGGGGAAUCUUGCGCAAUGCGCGAAAGCGUGACGCAGCAACGCCGCGUGGGGGAAGAAGGCUUUCGGGUUGUAAA